GGACCUGCUGAACCUGGGGCCCUAUAGGAGAGCACUGAUGGCCCACCCCUGAUUGUGGCCCUGGUCUUCAUGUCUGCAUCAGCCUCAGCCAUCUCAAGACCACAACGAGAACAUAGCAAAGUCAGAGAAGGAAGACCAAAAGCACCAGGGCCCUUCAUAUUAUUAAGCUGCUAAAUUAACUAAUCUUGGAAACUUCUAGACUCUACAAUUCUUGUUGUAUGAGAGUGGAUUGACAAUUAUUCUCUGGACUUUUUGGUAACCAAGAACUUCUAGCAACUAACCCUGGCAUGACCACCAGAAUCUGCAGGGCUGAGAGAAGAAAGAAAGGCAAAAGUGGAUGAAUGCAGCUGAAGAUGCUGUGGAACUCCUAUCACAUUCCAAGUGCUGUGUUGAUAUCUGGAGAUAUAGACAAGAUCGAAGCAGAUGCAGUCUUUCACAUGAAUAUUUGAAUCAGGCUCUUCCUGGAACAGCCUCCCAGCUUGGGUGCCUG
RNAcentral lists this long non-coding RNA (490 nucleotides) under Pan troglodytes (chimpanzee). RNAcentral describes it as "long non-coding RNA NONPTRT010797". Lineage: Eukaryota; Metazoa; Chordata; Mammalia; Primates; Hominidae. The record is from RNAcentral.